Molecule: small nucleolar RNA, 164 nt
Organism: Pygocentrus nattereri (red-bellied piranha)
Lineage: Eukaryota; Metazoa; Chordata; Actinopteri; Characiformes; Serrasalmidae
Product: small nucleolar RNA SNORA23
Exons: 1
Source: RefSeq, a predicted model, not a curated record
GGUGGGUGGUGUGCACUGUGUCUGUCUGCUUAGUGCCAUCUCCAGUCUGUGUUUUACAGGCUGUGUGGCUGUACUCACACCUCACCAGCAGCCACAGAGCCACUGGAGAUCAUAGUACUGGCUUAGUGUCCACCACUGGCUAGCCCUCAAUCUCUCUUACAAAC